This 253-nucleotide ribosomal RNA is filed under the name uncultured bacterium. RNAcentral's name for it is "partial 16S ribosomal RNA". It matches the Rfam family "Bacterial small subunit ribosomal RNA", at positions 524 to 776 of the family's 1533-position model. The record is from RNAcentral.
UACGAAGGGGGCUAGCGUUGUUCGGAAUCACUGGGCGUAAAGGGCGCGUAGGCGGCCGAUCAAGUCGGGGGUGAAAGCCUGUGGCUCAACCACAGAAUUGCCUUCGAUACUGUUUGGCUUGAGACCGGAAGAGGUUAGUGGAACUGCGAGUGUAGAGGUGAAAUUCGUAGAUAUUCGCAAGAACACCAGUGGCGAAGGCGGCUUACUGGUCCGGUUCUGACGCUGAGGCGCGAAAGCGUGGGGAGCAAACAGG